RNAcentral lists this ribosomal RNA (252 nucleotides) under uncultured Bacteroidales bacterium. RNAcentral's name for it is "partial 16S ribosomal RNA". It matches the Rfam family "Bacterial small subunit ribosomal RNA", at positions 524 to 776 of the family's 1533-position model. The record is from RNAcentral. Lineage: Bacteria; Pseudomonadati; Bacteroidota; Bacteroidia; Bacteroidales.
UACGGAGGAUGCGAGCGUUAUCCGGAUUUAUUGGGUUUAAAGGGUGCGUAGGCGGGACCUUAAGUCAGCGGUAAAAUUGCGGUGCUCAACGCCGUAGAGCCGUUGAAACUGGCAGUCUUGAGAUGUCGAGAGGUAUGCGGAAUGCGCAGUGUAGCGGUGAAAUGCAUAGAUAUCGCGCAGAACUCCGAUUGCGAAGGCAGCAUGCCGGCUCCACACUGACGCUGAGGCACGAAAGCGUGGGUAUCGAACAGG